GCCCCGAGCGGUGAGUGGGUGGCCUCCCGGGAGAGGAGCGGCGCGGGGGACGGCGUGGGAGGGCGGUGGGGAAGGCAUCCCGGGCGCGGAGGCCCGACGCGGAGCCUGGGCCUGCGGGAGCUGCUGCGGGGAGAAGUGCGGGAGCGUCGGGGGGGGUGCCAGGGGCCGGGUCCCCGGGGCCGCGGUGCGCGCGGGGGGGGCAGGCCCCAGCUCGGAGGCUGUGACGCACUUCGCGGGAGGCGGGGGGGGGGGGCGGCGGCGGGACCGCGAUUGCGCGACUGGGCUCCGCAGGGGUGGAGGGGCCCGGCUGGAGCUGCGUGCCUGUCACGGGUGCUUUCGCGCCACGGCGGGGGCGGCAGGGGGUCGGAUGGGCCACCGUGCCUGUCACGGGUGCCUUCGUGCGGCGGGUAGCAGGGAGGCGGAGGGGCGGGUCUGGAGUGUUACGGUGCCUUCGCGCAGCCGCGGGGGUGGCGGGGCCAAGGUGCGUGUCGUGACGGCAUGUGCGGUGGCGAGGCUGGGAUUAGUAGGGGACAGUGCAACCUGUAGCUUUGCUGUCGCUGCUCCAACCGGAGCACGUUCCAACCCGGGGUGGAGGGGGGAGGAAGGGGAGUGGUCACAGAGGGAGAUGAGAGCCCGAACCCUGCCGCGAAAGUGACCGACAGGAAGGGCGCAGACGUAGCAUGAGAUGACUGUUUUAGAACGAAGUAUUGACUUUACGGGCUACCACAGUAACAGGACCGAAGGGCCUCGGGAAUGAGAUUCCUUCUUUGGAGGGGAGAGGUCCCUGACUUGGGAGAUGGGGCUGCUUCAUAUGUCAGAACCCCAGUUACUCCAGCCUGGUCCCCGGGAAUCUCCGAAAUACUCAGAUCCCAGUUCCCUCUCAUUCCUGAUUGGUUUUAGAUAGGAUGUGUGGGCUUGGAGGGUGUUUCCUGCUAAGUUUGUGCUCCAGAAAGGCCCUAGUGUCUCCUUCUCUUUCCCCCAGGCCAGCGGUCGUCCAGAAAAAGCAUCCUGAGGAGGAAGACGGCUUGUUACACACCUUAAAGUCAAGGUUCAGAUGAGUUACCCUUUUUAUUCUGUCAAUGACUUGUGCUUUUAGGACUUCAGAAUAUCUGCUUUCCUUGGCCUGAAAUGUUCUCCCUGAUGGGGACUUAACCUCAGUCAUUCUUGCCCAAGAGGUGUGAUGGGGGUCAGGCAGGUGUAUGCACACAACACAGAACAGAGGACUGCAGUGGAGAGGUUCCCUGUGGUGCUUUAUUUUAGAGGGUGCUUUGGUCAGGACGAUCUGACUUGUAAGGUGGAAUCAAGCACUAGACUUCGUCGGUCUUUAACCACAGGCCUGACUUCCAGAGCAAAAUAAGAACAGAGAAGUUUUGAGGGUUUGGGCCAGCGAAUGAGAAAGUUACCAGCUUUGUGAUGCUCUUAAAAGUGGGGCUUGAACAAAGGUCUUUUCAUCAAAGGCAGGGACUUUUUUUCCAGGAAGCAAUAAGUCGAGAUUUGUUGUAUUAUCCCCAUCUUUUUGGGGGUCUGGACAGCCUCCGUUUGUUUUCCUGGGUUUCACUUGCCUCUCUGUCUUAACUGUAAGAAGCAACGUAGUUUGACGUUGUGUGUGAGUUCUGGGUCUAGAGCAGGGUUUCACAGACGUUUUCCGUGAAAGGUCACAUAUUAAAUAGUUCAUGUUUUGCGGGCUACAGGUUGCAUAUUCUCCAUGUUAAUUUUUAAAAUGGUUUGAGAUUUGCAGAAAAAUUGCAAAGAUAGUAUGAGAAUGCCCAGGUCUCCCCCACCAUUAACAACGUACGUUAGGGUGGGAUAUUAAUUCACAGUUGAUGAGCCAGGUUUGAUAUGUUAUCAUUAACUGAAAUCUGUGCUUUAUUCAGAUUUCCUUAGUUUUUACGUAAUGUUCUUCAUCUGUUCCAGGAUGCCAUCCAGGAGAUCCCAUUACAUUUCACUGUCAUGUGCCCUUAAGCUCCUCUUGGCUGAGACAGUUUCUCAGACUUCCCUUGUUUCUGAUGACCUUGACGGUUUUGAGAGGUACAGGUACUUGGUAGGAUGCCCCUCUCUCGGAACCUGAUGCUUUUCUCAUGAUUGGACUGGGUGUAUGGUUUUGGGGGUGGAAGAUCACAUUGCUUUCAUCUUGUCAUGGCAAGAAUACAUCACGAUUUAUGAUGGCUGAGUUUGAACUUGAUCAUCUGGUUGAGGUAGUUUGUCAGUUUUCUCCACUGUGAAGUUGUUCCUUUGUUUCCAAAGACCUUGUCUCCCUAAGUGACAGCCUUGUGUUUCAGGACCCCAGUUACUGGAUCCCAGUGACUCUGACCCUGCCUGAGUGGUCAGGUCUUUCUCUCUUAUCACCCCCUCACUUACUUGU
RNAcentral lists this long non-coding RNA (2362 nucleotides) under Lynx pardinus (Iberian lynx). The record is from RNAcentral. Lineage: Eukaryota; Metazoa; Chordata; Mammalia; Carnivora; Felidae.